GAUGAACGCUGGCGGCGUGCCUAAUACAUGCAAGUCGAGCGAACAGACGGGGAGCUUGCUCCUCUGACGUUAGCGGCGGACGGGUGAGUAACACGUGGAUAACCUACCUAUAAGACUGGGAUAACUUCGGGAAACCGGAGCUAAUACCGGAUAAUAUAUUGAACCGCAUGGUUCAAUAGUGAAAGACGGUUUUGCUGUCACUUAUAGAUGGAUCCGCGCCGCAUUAGCUAGUUGGUAAGGUAACGGCUUACCAAGGCAACGAUGCGUAGCCGACCUGAGAGGGUGAUCGGCCACACUGGAACUGAGACACGGUCCAGACUCCUACGGGAGGCAGCAGUAGGGAAUCUUCCGCAAUGGGCGAAAGCCUGACGGAGCAACGCCGCGUGAGUGAUGAAGGUCUUCGGGUCAUAAAACUCUGUUAUUAGGGAAGAACAAAUGUGUAAGUAACUAUGCACGUCUUGACGGUACCUAAUCAGAAAGCCACGGCUAACUACGUG
Molecule: ribosomal RNA, 497 nt
Filed under: uncultured bacterium
Lineage: Bacteria
Description: partial 16S ribosomal RNA
Rfam family: Bacterial small subunit ribosomal RNA
Source: RNAcentral